GCUCUUGGGUUUUGCUUCUGUUCUCCCUCUUCUCUUUCUGUCCUUCCUCCUUGAUCAUUCCUAUGGUUUUAAUAGCAUCUCAAAUCUCAGGAUUCAAGUGUGAGCUCAUUUGUCAUAUUGACUACUGUCCUUUUCCACUUGAAAGCUCAUGGGCAUUAUCAACAUGAGACGCACAAGUUUUUCUCUUGCUUCCUUCUAAAUAUAUUUGUCUCCUUCCUGUCUUCCCCAGCUCAAUAAAUGGCAUGCCCAUUUCUCAGUUCAGACAUUCAACCCACGUUGAGUCAAUUCUGCUUCCAAAAUAGGUCUCAAAACUAGUCACUUCAGAGUUUCAUGGUGGCUUAAUGGGUUAAGGAUCCAGCAUUUUCACUGCUAUAGUGUAUGUUCCAUCCCUGGCCCCAAAACUUCCAUAUGCCAGGGGCAAAGCCAAAAAAGAAACAACUGGCCAUUUUUUUCUAUCACAUCUGGCACUUCCCUAUUCCGGGUCACCAUCAUCUUUUCCUGGAUGAGUCGGGAAUUCUAAUAUUCACUCUUGCUCCAUCCAGUUCCUUCAAAGUACUUCAUCGAAAGGUGAGUGAUCAUGCGAUCCUUUCAGUGGAUUCCCGCAGAACUCAGGGGAGUCCCAUCUUCUUCCCAUGGCCUAAAGACUCUUUGUAAUCUUGUUUCUGCUCAUCUUUUCAGCCCCAUCUCAUGCUCAUAUUCCCUUUCACCAGAUUCUAUGACCUUAAACAUGACAAGGCUUGCAUUUUAUCUUAUCUUUCUUCCCUCCUUGUCUUUCUUGUUUAUUACUGUAAGUCUUAUUGUACUGCAAUACGUGCUCAAUAAAAACUUAUUGAACACGUGUUGAUGAAUGCUGUAAGCUAGAGAGAAGUGGCAAUCUUGCAGCAACUAGAACCAUUCUAAUAAUUGAUUGUAGUAUGCGAAACUAUGCCCUCCAUCACAACAUGCAUGUCCUGUGUUCCCUUAUUUCAAGGUCUGGCUUAGCAAUACCAUGAAUUUAAUCUGUUCAAGUCACUUACUCUAAAACAAACUACCCUCCCCCAAAACCUAUAGUGACUUAAAACAAUCAUUUUAUCAUACUCAGAAAUCUUGUGCGAUCUAUGUUCUAGAUCUUCAACUAGAACAUAGUAGCAGUGGCUUGUCUCUGCUCUACAAUGUCGUUAACUUCAUCUGGAAAGAUUCAAAGGCUGGGAGUUACUCCAUGGUGGGAGU
RNAcentral lists this long non-coding RNA (1209 nucleotides) under Sus scrofa (pig). RNAcentral describes it as "lncRNA (ENSSSCG00030068738.1, ENSSSCG00050061308.1)". Lineage: Eukaryota; Metazoa; Chordata; Mammalia; Artiodactyla; Suidae. The record is from RNAcentral.